AUGGUACAGGAAGUGCCAAAUUUUGAGUCCACAGUGAAACAGGAAAUGUCAAAUGUUGAACACUUCCAGGAACGCUAAACUGAGAGGCGGUGUGCACCUUGACAGGUCUUGAGGUAAGUCAGUCACUAUUUAGCGUGUAUAUUACAUGUAAAAA
Molecule: long non-coding RNA, 154 nt
Organism: Thalassophryne amazonica
Lineage: Eukaryota; Metazoa; Chordata; Actinopteri; Batrachoidiformes; Batrachoididae
Exons: 2
Source: RefSeq, a predicted model, not a curated record